This 129-nucleotide unclassified non-coding RNA is filed under the name soil metagenome. RNAcentral describes it as "partial internal transcribed spacer 1". The record is from RNAcentral.
CGAAUGGGUCCAAAGACUCUUAAAACCUACCGUGCUCCCCUAUGUGGAAAACAGGAAAGCCCUCCGGGGCAUAGGAAAUCUGAGAAGUUGAGAACUGCGCCCCGGCGCAUGGCUUAAAACAAAAAAUUA